UACAUACUUCCUCUGUUUCGAAUUACUUGUCGCAGGUAUGGAUGUAUCUAGAUGUAUUUUAGUUUUAGAUACAUCCAUAUCAGCAACAAGUAAUUUGGAACGGAGGGAGUACGUA
Non-coding RNA from Triticum aestivum (bread wheat), 115 nucleotides. The record is from Rfam. Lineage: Eukaryota; Viridiplantae; Streptophyta; Magnoliopsida; Poales; Poaceae.